Molecule: long non-coding RNA, 1558 nt
Filed under: Homo sapiens (human)
Lineage: Eukaryota; Metazoa; Chordata; Mammalia; Primates; Hominidae
Description: HSALNT0312804
Source: RNAcentral
CUCACAGUGAAAGCACAAAACAUCAAGCCAACAGUUCAGGACUAGUCAUUCAAAUGGACUAAAGGUGGGGGAGAAAAAAUAAGAGUGGAUAAAAGAAAGAAAGAAAACAGAGAAAGGUGGGAAAAAAAAAACAAAGGAAGGAAGAGAGAAAAGAGAAUGAGAGGAAGAGAAGGAAGGGGAAAAACAAGAUUGACUUUACAGUAUGAGAUAUACUAUUAUAUAUUGUAGUAUGAUGCCUCUGGCUUCCCUCUAUCACACGUCUUCUUUUCGAGUAAAGGUUUUUCAUAAAUGUGAGCGUGGAAGAAGAAACCAGUUAAAUAUGGAACUUCACACCAGGACACAAAAGGACUUCAAACUUUUAGAUUCCACAAGUAUGUGAAAAGAUGCAGUAUUUGUCUUUCUGUGCAUGGUUUACUUCACUUAUCAUCAUGUCCCUCAGGUUCAUCCACGUUGUUGCAAAUGACAGGAUUUCAUUCAUUUUUAAGACUGAAUAGUACUCCAUUAUGCAAAUAUACCAGAUUUUCAUUGUCUAUUCGUUCACUGAUGAACACGGGUUAAUCCUAUAUGUUGGCUAUUGUGAAUAAAGCUGCAAUGAAUAUGAGAGUACAGAUAUAUUCUUGACAUAUUAAUUUUAUUUUAUUUGGCAAUAUACCCAAUAGUAGCUAGAUCAUAUCAGAGUUCUAUUUUUAAUUUUUGAGGAAACUUCAUACUGUUUUUCAUAAUAGUUAUUACUAAUUUACACUCAGUAUACAAGAGUUCCCUUUUCUCCACAUUCUUUCCAAAAUUUGUUUCCUUUUCCCUUUUUGAUAACAGCUACUCUAACUGGGGUGAAAUAAUAUCUCACUGUGGUUUUAAUUUUCAUUUAUCUGAUUAAUGAUUUUGAGCUUUUUAAAAUAAAUACUUGUUGGCAAUUUGUAUGUCAUCUUUUGAGAAGUGUCUAUUAAAAUUUGUUUGCCUAUUUUUAAUCAGGUUAUUUGUUCUUACUAUUUUGUUAUUGGAGUUUCUUACAUAUUUUAGAUAUUAUGUGCAAAUAUGUCCUUCUAUGCUGUAAGUUGUCUUUCUACUCUUGUAAAAACAAGACCCAAAUAUAUACUGCAUACAAAAGAGUCACUUCAUCUGUAGGGACACAAGUAGCCUGAAAGUGAAGAAAUGAAAAACAAAAUAUUCCAUCCCAAUGAAAACCAAAGAGAAGGAGUAGCUCUACUUAUAUCAUGAAAUUGACUUUAUGUCAAAAACUGUGAAACAAGAAAAAUAAGGUUAUUAUGCAAUGAUAAAGGAGUUAAUUCAUCAAAAAUGUGUAACAAUUGCCAAUCUAUAUGCAUGCAAUAUCAGAGCAGUAAUUAUAUAAUGCAAAUAAUAGUAGAACUGAAGUUAGGGAUGCACUGUAAUAUUAUAAUAACAGGGUAAGUCAAUACCCUACUAUCUGCAAUGGAAAGAUCAUCAAGGCAGAAAAUCACUAAGAACAUAUGAGACUUAUACUGCACUUUGGAACAAAUGGAGCGAACAGACAUACACUGAACAUUUUACCCACCAUUAGUGGAAAACACAUUCUUCUCCA